RNAcentral lists this ribosomal RNA (371 nucleotides) under uncultured organism. RNAcentral describes it as "bacterial SSU rRNA". It matches the Rfam family "Bacterial small subunit ribosomal RNA", at positions 526 to 896 of the family's 1533-position model. The record is from RNAcentral.
CAGAGGGUGCGAGCGUUAAUCGGAAUUACUGGGCGUAAAGCGCGCGUAGGCGGCUUUGCAAGUCGGGUGUGAAAUCCCCAGGCUUAACCUGGGAACUGCAUUCGAGACUGCAUUGCUAGAGUAUGGGAGAGGGAAGUGGAAUUUCCGGUGUAGCGGUGAAAUGCGUAGAUAUCGGAGGGAACAUCAGUGGCGAAAGCGACUUCCUGGACCAAUACUGACGCUCAUGUGCGAAAGCGUGGGGAGCAAACAGGAUUAGAUACCCUGGUAGUCCACGCCAUAAACGAUGACAACUGGAUGUCGGGAGGGUCUGCCUCUCGGUGUCGUAGCUAACGCGUUAAGUUGUCCGCCUGGGGAGUACGGCCGCAAGGUUG